Molecule: ribosomal RNA, 380 nt
Filed under: uncultured eukaryote
Lineage: Eukaryota
Description: partial 18S ribosomal RNA
Rfam family: Eukaryotic small subunit ribosomal RNA
Source: RNAcentral
CAAUAGCGUAUAUUAAAGUUGUUGCGGUUAAAAAGCUCGUAGUUGGAUUUCUGUUGGGAACGACCGGUCCGCCCAUUGGGUGUGUAUCUGGCUUGUUCUCGGCAUCUUCUUGGUGAACGUUGCUGCACUUGACUGUGUGGAGCGCUACCCAGGACUUUUACUUUGAGGAAAUUAGAGUGUUUCAAGCAGGCAUAUGCCUUGAAUACAUUAGCAUGGAAUAAUAAGAUAGGACCUCGGUUCUAUUUUGUUGGUUUCUAGAGCUGAGGUAAUGAUUGAUAGGGAUAGUUGGGGGCAUUCGUAUUUAACUGUCGGAGGUGAAAUUCUUGGAUUUGUUAAAGACGGACUACUGCGAAAGCAUUUGCCAAGGAUGUUUUCAUUGA